CCAAUAGCGUAUAUUAAAGUUGUUGCAGUUAAAAAGCUCGUAGUUGAACUUCGGGGUUCACCCAUUGGUCAGGCUUAAUUGUCUGUACUGGUGAGAUGAAUCUCUACCUUCUGAGGAACUUUCAUGCCAUUCGUUUGGUGUGAUGGGAAAUCAGGACUGUUACUUUGAAAAAGUUAGAGUGUUUAAAGCAGGCUAACGUCUGAAUACAUUAGCAUGGAAUAAUGAAAUAGGACGGAUUGGUUCUAUUUCGUUGGUUUCUAGGAUCACCGUAAUGAUUAAUAGGGAUAGUUGGGGGCAUUAGUAUUCAAUUGUCAGAGGUGAAAUUCUUGGAUUUAUUGAAGACUAACUACUGCGAAAGCAUUUGCCAAGGAUGUUUUCAUUAAUCAAGAACGAAAGUUAGGGGAUCGAAGACGAUCAGAUACCGUCGUAGUCUUAACCAUAAACUAUGCCGACUAGGGAUCGGACGAAGCUAAUUUUAUAAUGACGCGUUCGGCACCUCACG
RNAcentral lists this ribosomal RNA (502 nucleotides) under uncultured Glomeromycotina. Its description in RNAcentral is "partial small subunit ribosomal RNA". It matches the Rfam family "Eukaryotic small subunit ribosomal RNA", at positions 591 to 1092 of the family's 1831-position model. Lineage: Eukaryota; Fungi; Glomeromycota. The record is from RNAcentral.